UACGUAGGGUGCAAGCGUUGUCCGGAUUUACUGGGCGUAAAGAGCGCGCAGGCGGUCGAUCAAGUCGAGUGUGAAAGCCCCCGGCUCAACUGGGGAGGGUCAUUCGAUACUGAUCGACUCGAAGGCAGGAGAGGGUAGUGGAAUUCCCGGUGUAGUGGUGAAAUGCGUAGAUAUCGGGAGGAACACCAGUGGCGAAGGCGACUACCUGGCCUGUUCUUGACGCUGAGGCGCGAAAGCUAGGGGAGCAAACAGG
Molecule: ribosomal RNA, 253 nt
Filed under: uncultured bacterium
Lineage: Bacteria
Description: partial 16S ribosomal RNA
Rfam family: Bacterial small subunit ribosomal RNA
Source: RNAcentral